RNAcentral lists this ribosomal RNA (401 nucleotides) under uncultured bacterium. RNAcentral's name for it is "bacterial SSU rRNA". It matches the Rfam family "Bacterial small subunit ribosomal RNA", at positions 355 to 774 of the family's 1533-position model. The record is from RNAcentral.
UGGGGAAUAUUGCACAAUGGGCGAAAGCCUGAUGCAGCAACGCCGCGUGAGCGAUGAAGGCCUUCGGGUCGUAAAGCUCUGUCCUCAAGGAAGAUAAUGACGGUACUUGAGGAGGAAGCCCCGGCUAACUACGUGCCAGCAGCCGCGGUAAUACGUAGGGGGCUAGCGUUAUCCGGAAUUACUGGGCGUAAAGGGUGCGUAGGUGGUUUCUUAAGUCAGAGGUGAAAGGCUACGGCUCAACCGUAGUAAGCCUUUGAAACUGGGAAACUUGAGUGCAGGAGAGGAGAGUGGAAUUCCUAGUGUAGCGGUGAAAUGCGUAGAUAUUAGGAGGAACACCAGUUGCGAAGGCGGCUCUCUGAACUGUAACUGACACUGAGGCACGAAAGCGUGGGGAGCAAACA